GUCUGAAUUGAUGAAAGCAUGAGGGAGAAAGAAAGUGGCUCAAAACAUCAAAAAGGCUCUGCAGUGCUCCAGGAUCUCGCCUCAUAUGGAGCCUGGAGGGAGGCAGACUACAGUAAAUAAAUUUUUCUGAUGUUCAAUGAUGGGAUUGUACUGUAGAAGUAGAUUAUCAUUACCAC
Long non-coding RNA from Labeo rohita (rohu), 176 nucleotides. RefSeq lists it as uncharacterized. The record is from RefSeq and is a predicted model, not a curated record. The transcript has 3 exons. NCBI's taxonomy places the organism in Eukaryota, Metazoa, Chordata, Actinopteri, Cypriniformes, Cyprinidae.